This 1448-nucleotide long non-coding RNA is filed under the name Fragaria vesca (wild strawberry). Its description in RNAcentral is "long non-coding RNA (FVES_LNC001397)". The record is from RNAcentral. Lineage: Eukaryota; Viridiplantae; Streptophyta; Magnoliopsida; Rosales; Rosaceae.
UAAAAUAUAUAUUUUUUGUUUAAAAGGUAUGGUCUAUGAUGCAUGGGCGCACCUAAGGGUUGCAGUCUACCUCCGGAAGUUUUUUUUAUUUUUAUUUAUUUUAAAUAUAGGAAUAGAGACCUUAUUAAUUAUAUGACAUAUAUAUUAUUGUUCGCCUAUAAUGUGGGUUUGAUGGUUGUGGAUGCACUUGCGUCAAUCCAUUAAGAUUUGUUUCGGUCCAUUAAUUUAUUAAUGUACUAAAUGUUAUAGCUCAUCCAAAGGGGUUUACGCCAAAAUUGAGCCAUCAAAAAGAAACCCUGCCAUUUGAAGAUUUCUCCGCUUAUUUUAUAUUAUUAACCUCAUACAUAUGCGACGCUUGUAUUAUUGGUGAAUAGAUAAAAACCGUGAUAGUUUUCUUGUUACCAUGUUCUUUCAUUUUAUAUAUGUUUUUCAUUAUAGGAUGAAAAAAAUCUCUUUUUUUUUUUUAUCAAAAGAAUUCAAUCGAUGAAAACUACAUCACGGAGUAUAAAGCGGCCACAUCAAACCUCCCAAAACAGAAGGAAUAAUACCACACUCCAUAUUACAUCACUAAGAAGCUAACUUGCUUCCGAAACUAUGAUAUGAGAGAGCCACUCCGGCUCUAACAACCACCAAUACGAAGCAUAAGACAAAGAAAGAGCCUCCCUGGCCACACGGUGAGCCGCCUUAUUACAAAUUUUAGGAAGAUAGCCCCACUUACAGACAAAAGAGACUUGGCCUCAUCCAGGAUGCCAUCAUCAGCACUAAGAUCGUCCUGAGACUCUCCCAAAGAAUUGAAUACAGCUUGUGCAUCACCUUCCACCAGCAUGCGUGUGAAGCCAGCCUGUGACACAGAAGUGCAAACCAUUCACCAAUGCCACCAUUUCACAAGAAUGUGGACUCAAGAAUCCUACCCCGAGCACAGCCAACACUCCCAGACAUACCCCCAUUUCAUUGUGAAAUACUGCUCCCGUCCCAAACACCCCAUUUGCAGCAUCCAAAGAACCAUCAGCAUUUAGCUUUACUAACCCACCACCAGGUUUAACCCACCUUUGCAUCCCGCUAGCUGGCCCUACAGUCUCUACCCAUCUGCUGUGCCUUUUCAGUAUUGCCAUUAUAUGUUUGGGUUGCUCUCAUAAACCCUUCCCAUCAAUUCACUGCUCUUUCUAGCACUCCAUUCAGUCCUCCCCCUCCAACCACCUCCCCAUGAACUCUAUUAUUCCUUGCAUGCCAUAACAACCAAGUAAAACAAGUUAUGUUUUGUUUAACAAAAUCUCUUCCAUUGUAUGUAACAUAGAUACAAAACGAUAUAUAUUUUAGUUUUACUUAAUUAUAUAUAUAUAUUAAUUAAUUAUACAUAUCUUCAUUCUACGAUAACUGAGUCAACUCAUAAAACUUAAUGGGUCUAGAAUCCCUUGUUCAUAUUUCAUCCGCAAGAGCAACUCCAAAAC